UGAUAAAAUAAAGUAACCUGCACAGACUC
This 29-nucleotide non-coding RNA is filed under the name Rattus norvegicus (Norway rat). Lineage: Eukaryota; Metazoa; Chordata; Mammalia; Rodentia; Muridae. The record is from RNAcentral.